UAUGCUCCAUGGCGAUAGUUCCUCGUUUCGGGACACCACGUGAUGAUCGGGUGUGAUAGACUCUACGUUCACAUACAACGGAUGCAAGACAGUCUUGCACUGUCACAACCCUAGUUUAGCUUUGAUUGUCAUUGCUUUUCAUGCAUGCAUUUUUAUUUUUAUUUUGAAUUUGAAAUGAGAAGUGAUCAGGCCUCAGAAAUUAUUUUAUCAAAUAAGCCAAAUAAAAAUUGCUUAAAAUAAUUCCAAGAAAAUGUCCCUCGUAUUCUAAGGAAAUAUUUGCAUGAGGUAAAAUUCAAAUCAAUAUUUUUGGAAUCACAGAAGCAUUAAUAUUGGGACUUUUAUUUAAAAUAAUUAUAAUUUUACUUGGAUAUAUAUUUGUUAUAUACUAAGUAUAUAUCCAGUAAUUCUAGUAUUGUUGUGUGGCACUCGCUAAAUCCAUUUGGUUUACAUGUCAAUUUGCAGGAUUUAUUAAAGUGGUUUUAUAUUUGUUUUAACCAGAACAAAUGACACAAAGAUAGAAAAACUGAAAUAAGUAAAAGAGAGAGAGAGAAUAGAUACCUAGCGCUCACCGGCCCGGCCCAGCUCACCAGGGGCACCCCUGUCUUCUUCCUCUUGCCAGGAGGCAGAGGAAAAGCACAGGACGGCGCCCGUGGCCUCACGCCAUGCCGGCAGCAGGUUCGCUGCUCCCUUGGCCAGCGCGAUGAUGGGGAUGAGUACCCCCGUGCCGUAUGGAUCCGCCUCUCCUCCCCAUUAUUCUCCGUACUUUCUCCCUCUUCAUCUGUCUCUCUCUUCCGC
Molecule: long non-coding RNA, 795 nt
Filed under: Hordeum vulgare
Lineage: Eukaryota; Viridiplantae; Streptophyta; Magnoliopsida; Poales; Poaceae
Description: long non-coding RNA (HVUL_LNC012102)
Source: RNAcentral